This 429-nucleotide ribosomal RNA is filed under the name bacterium. Its description in RNAcentral is "partial 16S ribosomal RNA". It matches the Rfam family "Bacterial small subunit ribosomal RNA", at positions 355 to 776 of the family's 1533-position model. The record is from RNAcentral.
UAGGGAAUCUUCGGCAAUGGGGGCAACCCUGACCGAGCAACGCCGCGUGAGUGAAGAAGGUUUUCGGAUCGUAAAGCUCUGUUGUAAGAGAAGAACGUGUGUGAGAGUGGAAAGUUCACACAGUGACGGUAACUUACCAGAAAGGGACGGCUAACUACGUGCCAGCAGCCGCGGUAAUACGUAGGUCCCGAGCGUUGUCCGGAUUUACUGGGCGUAAAGCGAGCGCAGGCGGUUUAAUAAGUCUGAAGUUAAAGGCAGUGGCUUAACCAUUGUUCGCUUUGGAAACUGUUAGACUUGAGUGCAGAAGGGGAGAGUGGAAUUCCAUGUGUAGCAGUGAAAUGCGUAGAUAUAUGGCGGAACACCGGUGGCGAAAGCGGCUCUCUGGUCUGUAACUGACGCUGAGGCGCGAAAGCGUGGGGAGCAAACAGG